This 430-nucleotide long non-coding RNA is filed under the name Setaria viridis. RNAcentral's name for it is "long non-coding RNA (SVIR_LNC002030)". The record is from RNAcentral. Lineage: Eukaryota; Viridiplantae; Streptophyta; Magnoliopsida; Poales; Poaceae.
CACCCACGAAAAGAAAAGGUCAGAACUCUCGAUCUAGCCCCACUUUCUAUAGCUAUUUAUCGACAUGUUGUUUCGAAUGUCCUUGAAAAGGCCUACACACAUACCCUGCCACUCGAUGUAGGUUUUGCCAGCGAUGUGUAGUGGGUUUGUUCAGUAGAGAUGGGUAAAGCGCACAAGUAUUGGAAGGAAAGUUUAACCCUUCUUAAAGGAUAAAAAGUCUGUAUUGAUCUAUAAUUUGAAUUCCUUUCUUAUUAGUUUCCAAGUGAAAAAUGUUCAUUGCCUUGAUCAGAGCCUUUAAGCCUUUUAGAAGCGAGCAUUUCCGCUGCUUCUAUUUUUCCUAAAGCUAACCGAAUGGAAGAGACUCACUUAUUCUAAAUAAGAAAUAAGGAACCAACAAAAAAAAAAGAAUUGUUCCAACCUCAGCUCGGGG